This is a long non-coding RNA of Salvia miltiorrhiza (redroot sage), 950 nucleotides long. RefSeq lists it as uncharacterized. The transcript is spliced from 3 exons. The record is from RefSeq and is a predicted model, not a curated record. NCBI's taxonomy places the organism in Eukaryota, Viridiplantae, Streptophyta, Magnoliopsida, Lamiales, Lamiaceae.
CUUCAAUCUUGUCAAUCUUAUUUCAUCAUAUUAAGGAAAUGUAAUCAAAUCCCCCUAUUUUCUCUAUUCCCUUGUAGAUGACGAUAUGAUUUCAAUUUCAACAAAUUUGUGGCAUUUCUCUAAUCAGUAUAUCAUUUUACCAGUCGUUUUCAUUUUCAUCCUCCUCUCUGGUUCGACGAAAUUCGCCAUGGAUAGCAGAAGAGUUGAAGGUUCCAUUUCAUUUCCAUCCUCCUCUCUGGUUAUACGGCAAUCUGAGCUAGUUUGAAAGAGAAAUAUUGCAGCGACGGCUUGAAGAAGGUUCGAGGAAACAAAGCUGGGGGUGGGGGAUCCUGGAGAAGUGAAGUUCAAUAAACUAAAUCAAUAAGUUCGUUGCAUAUUGUUAUGUUGCUCGCUGAGUGGUUUUCUGAUCGUCGUUUCGCGAUGGUGUUCGGCCAUGGAGGCUCUCGGCUUAGCCGUCUGUGUGCGUGGAAGAAUGGACUACAAGAUGGUGGUUUCUCGGCUCUCCGUUACAGUAGGGAGAGAGAGAAACAGAGGCCGUAAAUCAGCCGGUUGCUACAUCGGGAAUUCGACGUUGGUUGCCGAAGAUGUUGCGGCUGUUGGCUGGGGAGAUGGAGAGAGUAUUUCGACUUUUCGAUUCGUGAUAGUGGUAGCCUGAAGAUGAAGAGGAACGACUACGUGUUGACGACUCACAGCCUAGUGCCCGGUCGGCGCAGAAACGAGCCGGCGAAGGGAGUCCACUUAGGCUCCUGUUUGAUUUUCAGAAAAAGAAAGAGAGGUGUUCCCGUCGUUUUUCUUGCUGUUCAACAGUCUCCUCGUCAUGAUUGUUGAUUUGUUUUAUUUUUACACCUUUGUUGUUUUUGUUCUUAAUUCCGGCUGAUCUAUGUUAAUGAUGUAUUAUGUGAUAAUUUGUUUCGAAAUUAUGAUCUAUGUAUUAUUUUGGGUUAAGUACC